AACGAACGCUGGCGGCAGGCCUAACACAUGCAAGUCGAGCGCACCUUCGGGUGAGCGGCGGACGGGUUAGUAACGCGUGGGAACGUACCCUUUUCUACGGAAUAGCCUUUGGAAACGAAGAGUAAUACCGUAUACGCCCUUUGGGGGAAAGAUUUAUCGGAGAAGGAUCGGCCCGCGUUAGAUUAGAUAGUUGGUGGGGUAACGGCCUACCAAGUCUACGAUCUAUAGCUGGUUUUAGAGGAUGAUCAGCAACACUGGGACUGAGACACGGCCCAGACUCCUACGGGAGGCAGCAGUGGGGAAUCUUAGACAAUGGGCGCAAGCCUGAUCUAGCCAUGCCGCGUGAGUGAUGAAGGCCUUAGGGUCGUAAAGCUCUUUCGCCUGUGAUGAUAAUGACAGUAGCAGGUAAAGAAACCCCGGCUAACUCCGUGCCAGCAGCCGCGGUAAUACGGAGGGGGUUAGCGUUGUUCGGAAUUACUGGGCGUAAAGCGCACGUAGGCGGAUUGGAAAGUUGGGGGUGAAAUCCCGGGGCUCAACCCCGGAACUGCCUCCAAAACUAUCAGUCUAGAGUUCGAGAGAGGUGAGUGGAAUUCCAAGUGUAGAGGUGAAAUUCGUAGAUAUUUGGAGGAACACCAGUGGCGAAGGCGGCUCACUGGCUCGAUACUGACGCUGAGUC
RNAcentral lists this ribosomal RNA (676 nucleotides) under bacterium IMCC11724. RNAcentral's name for it is "bacterial SSU rRNA". It matches the Rfam family "Bacterial small subunit ribosomal RNA", at positions 28 to 752 of the family's 1533-position model. The record is from RNAcentral.